Molecule: long non-coding RNA, 641 nt
Filed under: Solanum tuberosum (potato)
Lineage: Eukaryota; Viridiplantae; Streptophyta; Magnoliopsida; Solanales; Solanaceae
Description: long non-coding RNA (STUB_LNC009151)
Source: RNAcentral
GCAAUCUCACGUAUGGAAUGAACAUAUACACAAGCUUAGUUUGUCAUCAACACAUCUCUGGAUUUCCAUACAUCUCAUAACUCAAGCUUUAAAGCAUCGAUUCAUCAAUUCUCCAUAGUUGGACAUUUUGUCAAACACCUUGAAGGCAUGUAAUGGAAUCAAAGAGCAUGGAAAAUAGGGUAGUAAUUAUGCAGCCAAACCAAUGAACAACCUACAACAACACCUUUUUAACACCCACAAUACCACAUGAAAAUCUCCACAUCCAUUCCAAAUUUAGGUUCAAGUUCUAGGGUCACAACAUGCUCAAAACAAUCACUUUUCAUGUUUAAAAUUCAAUGUGCAGGAAAUUAUUACAAAGAACAAGACUAAUUUAUGAAUCUUAACUUAAACCAUGAAUUAGUGAGUAGAAUAGAGUCUAGGCACUAUGGGUGGAAGGACCCAUGAGUUCAACACCACAUACCUUGAGUUUUUAUGAAGGUCUUGAGAGUGUCUUCAAUGGAAGCUUGGAACUUGGAGCAAGAGUCUCUUCAAUCUUGAGGAAGGUUUUGGAUUAGGGUUCUUGAGAGAACUUGAGAGAAAAUGUGUCUAAGUAUGGGAGAGAUGUUUUGGGAAAUGUUUUUGAGAUGAGAGUUGAACUAAUG